GAGGAAUAUUGUUCAUGGGCCGCAGCCCUAAACCGGCAAGUAGCGUGAAAGAUGAAUGCCCCAUGGGUUGUAAACUUCUUUUAUUAGGGGAAUAAGGGAGGCACGUGUGGCCUUUUGGUUUUAACUUAGGGAUUAGCAUCGGCCAACUUCGUGCCAGCAGCCGCGGUAAUACGGAGGAUGCAAGCGUUAUCCGGAUUUAUUGGGUUUAAAGGGAGCGUAGGCGGACUAUUAAGUCAGCUGUGAAAGUUUACGGCUCAACCGUGAAAUUGCAGUUGAAACUGGUCGUCUUGAGUGCAGUAAAGGUGGGCGGAAUUCGUGGUGUAGCGGUGAAAUGCUUAGAUAUCACGAAGAACUCCAAUUGCGAAGGCAGCUCACUGGAGUGUAACUGACGCUGAUGCUCGAAAGUGUGGGUAUCAAACA
RNAcentral lists this ribosomal RNA (420 nucleotides) under uncultured Bacteroidales bacterium. RNAcentral's name for it is "bacterial SSU rRNA". It matches the Rfam family "Bacterial small subunit ribosomal RNA", at positions 356 to 774 of the family's 1533-position model. Lineage: Bacteria; Pseudomonadati; Bacteroidota; Bacteroidia; Bacteroidales. The record is from RNAcentral.